CCUAAAAUCUAGCUCACCUCCACAACACCUAUGCCACCCCAAACCUAUUUUUCUGCAAAUAAAACAUUUUAACAGUUUAGUACAGGAGAUCGAAAAAUUUCUAGACGCUUCAGAUAAAGUACCGCAAGGGAAUGAUGAAAUAGUAGUGAAAAAACCUUAAAGCCUAAAACAGCAGAGAUAUUCCCUCGUACCUUUUGCAUCAUGGUCUAGCUAGUUUAACCAAGCAAAAAGUAACUUUAAGUUUGACACCCCGAAACUAAGCGAGCUACUUCAGAACAGCCCCAGGGGGCCAACCCGUCUCUGUUGCAAAAGAGUGGGAAGAUUCUUAAGUAGAGGUGAUAUGCCUAUCGAGCUUAGAGAUAGCUGGUUGCUCAGGAAAAGAGUUUUAGCUCUACCUUAAGUUUUUUAAUUACCCUAAACAAACCAUUAAACUUAAGAGCUAUUCAAAUAAGGCACAGCUUGUUUGAUACAGGAUACAACCUCACAGAUUGGGUAAAUAUAGGAUUUCUAAACGAAGUGGGCCUAGAAGCAGCCACCUUUAAAAUAGCGUUAUAGCUUGAUUACAAAAACCUCAAAUCCCUUACAUCCUAAACAACCCCUCACCCAUACUGAGCUAUUUUAUAUAUCUAUAAAAAUUAUAAUGCUAGAACGAGUAACAAGAAGAUGACCUUCUCCAAAAUGCAAGCAUAAACCAAAACGGACAACACAUUGGUAAUUAACGUAAAUGAAUACAAUAUAGCAACCCUCACUAGAAAACCCUAUAUUACCCCACUAACGUUAACCUUACACUAGAGCAUUACAGGAAAGAUUAAAAGAGAAAGAAGGAACUCGGCAAACCUUAGCCCCGCCUGUUUACCAAAAACAUCGCCUCUUGCCCCCCAUAAGAGGUCCAGCCUGCCCGGUGACAUAGUUUAACGGCCGCGGUACCCUAACCGUGCGAAGGUAGCAUAAUCACUUGUUCUUUAAAUAGGGACUUGUAUCAACGGCAUCACGAGGGCUGUACUGUCUCCUUUCUCUAAUCAGUGAAACUGAUCUCCCCGUGAAGAAGCGGGGAUUUACCUAUAAGACGAGAAGACCCCAUGGAGCUUUAAGUUAAGUAUUUAACCCACGCCCACACAUCCACUAAGCUAUAAGGCCCUAAAUACUGACUUUAGGUUGGGGAGACCGCGGAGUAUAACUCACCCUCCACGACUAACGGGCUUCGCCCUUAUCUACGAAUGACACUUCUAAGAAUCAGUAAACUGAUGUUUAAUGACCCGAUAAUUCGAUCAACGAACCAAGUUACCCUGGGGAUAACAGCGCAAUCUACUUCAAGAGUCCUUAUCGACAAGUGGGUUUACGACCUCGAUGUUGGAUCAGGGUAUCCCAGUGGUGCAGUCGCUAC
Molecule: ribosomal RNA, 1384 nt
Filed under: Pulchrana mangyanum
Lineage: Eukaryota; Metazoa; Chordata; Amphibia; Anura; Ranidae
Description: partial 16S ribosomal RNA
Rfam family: Bacterial large subunit ribosomal RNA
Source: RNAcentral